UGGGGAAUAUUGGACAAUGGGCGAAAGCCUGAUCCAGCAAUGCCGCGUGAGUGAUGAAGGCCUUAGGGUUGUAAAGCUCUUUUACCAGGGAUGAUAAUGACAGUACCUGGAGAAUAAGCUCCGGCUAACUCCGUGCCAGCAGCCGCGGUAAUACGGAGGGAGCUAGCGUUGUUCGGAAUUACUGGGCGUAAAGCGUACGUAGGCGGUGACUCAAGUCAGAGGUGAAAGCCUGGAGCUCAACUCCAGAACUGCCUUUGAAACUAGGUCGCUAGAAUCACGGAGAGGUGAGUGGAAUUCCGAGUGUAGAGGUGAAAUUCGUAGAUAUUCGGAAGAACACCAGUGGCGAAGGCGGCUCACUGGACAUGUAUUGACGCUGAGGUACGAAAGCGUGGGGAGCAAACAGGAUUAGAUACCCACGUAGUCCCUGAGCGGGCUGGCAAGGCGCAU
Molecule: ribosomal RNA, 447 nt
Filed under: uncultured bacterium
Lineage: Bacteria
Description: bacterial SSU rRNA
Rfam family: Bacterial small subunit ribosomal RNA
Source: RNAcentral